RNAcentral lists this ribosomal RNA (462 nucleotides) under uncultured bacterium. Its description in RNAcentral is "partial 16S ribosomal RNA". It matches the Rfam family "Bacterial small subunit ribosomal RNA", at positions 28 to 507 of the family's 1533-position model. The record is from RNAcentral.
GACGAACGCUGGCGGCGUGCUUAAUACAUGCAAGUCGAACGGACAGGUCCUUCGGGGUACUCGAGUGCCGUACGGGUGAGUAACACGUGGGUGCUUUGCCCUGCACUUUGGGAUAAUCCUGGGAAACUGGGUCUAAUACCCAAUAGGACCACGCGCUACUUGGUCUGUGGGUGAAAUCUUUCGCGGUGUGUGAUGGGCCCGCGGUCUAUCAGCCUGUUGGUGGAGUAAUGGUCUACCAAGGAGGCGACUGGUAGCCGACCUGUGAGGGUGACCAGGCACACUGGGCCUGAGGAACGGCCCAGACUGGAACGGGAGGCAGCGGUGGGAAAUAUUGCGCAAUAGGCGCAAGCGUGAUGCAGCGACGCCGCGUGAGGAAUGACGGCUUUCGGGUUGUAAACCUAUGUCAAUGGAAACGAGGCGGAAGUGACGGUACCUAUAGAGGAAGCACCGGCUAACUACGUG